GUUACUAUAGUAUAUAUAUAUAUGUGUUAUGAAUGCAAGUCAUUGUAGCAAAGCAUUCUGAAUUUGAUACAAACAUUAUAAACAAAAAGCAUAAUGGAUUCGUAUGUUUUGUGAAUAAAAGCCUGAUCCCUGAAGCAGCUUUUGAAAUCAGGGUUAGACAGAAAGCUUUGUCCAAUCAUCUGAAGAUUAAUCUAUCCCAGCCAUCAUCCAAAUAUUAUACUUGUUUGUGAUAUUCUUUUCUACAUCACAUAUCCCAUCAUGAAACCAUCUAUUUUUUAUUUUCCAAUUGAAAAAACCGUUGCACUCUGGCUUGUCUGCACAGCUGCAAAGCAACCCCAACCAGUCUCUAAAUUCUCCAAAGCAAACACAACUGCAGAAUCC
Molecule: long non-coding RNA, 381 nt
Filed under: Coffea arabica (coffee)
Lineage: Eukaryota; Viridiplantae; Streptophyta; Magnoliopsida; Gentianales; Rubiaceae
Description: long non-coding RNA (CARA_LNC006225)
Source: RNAcentral